Molecule: long non-coding RNA, 1700 nt
Organism: Planococcus citri (citrus mealybug)
Lineage: Eukaryota; Metazoa; Arthropoda; Insecta; Hemiptera; Pseudococcidae
Exons: 2
Source: RefSeq, a predicted model, not a curated record
GUCGUCUGGCAGUUCACAAGUAGGGCAAAAAUAAAAACUUGGUAAAAGAAAUGCCUUUGAUCAAAAAAUGAAAAAAAAUCAAGGAUGUUAAGAGAGGAUUUUUUAUCAAGUAGGUACCAUAUGUAAUAAAAUCUUGUCGGAAAUUGGGCCGAAAUAUGACACAAUAUUUCGCGAAAUUGCGAGCUUUGUAGUGGGGAUAACUAAUAAUUUUUGCUUUAAAGUGUAGCGUAGAAUUUUCUUUCAUUUUGGAAAAAAAAUGAUAUGAAGGAUUUGAACUUUUUCAUAACGUUCAUUUCCCAAGAUGAUUUUUCUUUGAAAGCUCAACUUUUGUGUGAUUUGGUCAAUUGGGCAGAAUACACUAUUACACCCUUCAACGAAAUUUUGUUUCCCCAACAUGGGAACCUAGAAAACCUCCAAAGGUUCAAAUAAUGGGAUCAAUAAUAUUACUAGACAGCUACAAAAGAUUAUACAUCGAUACGAAAACUUUUGACCUUUUAUUUACUAUUUUAAUGAAUUAUUUAAGAAAUUAUCCUAUAAUAAUUGGAAAGGUAGUUAUAAGGAAAAUACGUUCGGUGAAUCGUAAUUUGUCGAUGAAAGUUCUAUUAUUUGAGCAGAAAAAAAGGUUGUUCUAAGUCUUUGGCUAUAUUUUAAUGAAUAGGUAUUUUUUUUUUACUCAUUAAAUUUAUUUUUUAAAUCAUUAAUUAUCAAAAUAAGGGCUUAGGUUAAACAAAUAAAUGUGCAUGCAUGCAUAUUAAAAAAUUCGCGCACAAUUAAUAAAUCUUAAACUUGAUUGUAUUUGUUAUUCGAAUUCAAGAUGAUAACCAAUAUUUUACGAAUGUCUAUAAAAGUAAAUGCAGAGGUCGUUUUUAUUUCAAAUCUCUAGUUUCACACUGCAAAACAAAGUCAUUCUUUCGUCCAUUGUUCGUACGUUCGUUCGGUUCUUUUUUUCAAUAUGCAUUCUUAUUUUAAAUACACUUGUUACCUAUUGGUAAUUUCGUGCUAUUUGCACAUUGCUACCGCGGCGCAAUGUACAAGCCCAAAAUCGUCGAUAUUUUGUAGCCGUGUUAAUAACGGCGCAGAUGUUAUAAAAGAAGCUGACAAAGACAACGAUGGAAAACUCAAUGAAAAAGAGGCAUUAGACUAUCUUAAAAAUACAACUUUUAUCAGAUGGGCAGAUGGAACGCUCAAAUUAGAAAUCAAGUCGAUAGAUAAAAAUCACGAUGGAUACGUGACCGCAGAAGAAAUCGAUUUUCCGGCUUCGACUUCACCUAGCCAACCGCACAGCUCCAACCAACCGAAAGACAUCAUAAAACAAAAUGACAAAAACCAUGAUGGAAAACUCGAUUACGCCGAAGCACGUGAAGGUUUUCCCCCUGUACUCCCAUUCAAAUUGUCAGCUGAAGCACUUGAAAAUGAAAUCAAGGCGUUGGAUAGAAAUCACGAUGGAUAUUUGGAAUUGGAUGAAUUCAAUGGAACCCCAACGACUACGUCAAAACCAUCAAAACCAUAAUUACAGAGAUCGACGUUUUUAUUAAAUACUUAGGUACCUGAGUUGGUAACGUGAAGUAGAUUAUCGUAAUUUUUUUUUUCGAAUUGCUUAUUUAUUCAUUUAUAGUACUUUUAAAGUCGAUUAAUUUUCAAAUGAAUUUAAAAAAUGAUUGUUAUUUGCCAGGGAUACAAAAAUAAAUGCUUAUUUCUCA